This 2878-nucleotide ribosomal RNA is filed under the name Escherichia coli. RNAcentral describes it as "bacterial LSU rRNA". It matches the Rfam family "Bacterial large subunit ribosomal RNA". Lineage: Bacteria; Pseudomonadati; Pseudomonadota; Gammaproteobacteria; Enterobacterales; Enterobacteriaceae. The record is from RNAcentral.
GGGUUGUGAGGUUAAGCGACUAAGCGUACACGGUGGAUGCCCUGGCAGUCAGAGGCGAUGAAGGACGUGCUAAUCUGCGAUAAGCGUCGGUAAGGUGAUAUGAACCGUUAUAACCGGCGAUUUCCGAAUGGGGAAACCCAGUGUGUUUCGACACACUAUCAUUAACUGAAUCCAUAGGUUAAUGAGGCGAACCGGGGGAACUGAAACAUCUAAGUACCCCGAGGAAAAGAAAUCAACCGAGAUUCCCCCAGUAGCGGCGAGCGAACGGGGAGCAGCCCAGAGCCUGAAUCAGUGUGUGUGUUAGUGGAAGCGUCUGGAAAGGCGUGCGAUACAGGGUGACAGCCCCGUACACAAAAAUGCACAUGCUGUGAGCUCGAUGAGUAGGGCGGGACACGUGGUAUCCUGUCUGAAUAUGGGGGGACCAUCCUCCAAGGCUAAAUACUCCUGACUGACCGAUAGUGAACCAGUACCGUGAGGGAAAGGCGAAAAGAACCCCGGCGAGGGGAGUGAAAAAGAACCUGAAACCGUGUACGUACAAGCAGUGGGAGCACGCUUAGGCGUGUGACUGCGUACCUUUUGUAUAAUGGGUCAGCGACUUAUAUUCUGUAGCAAGGUUAACCGAAUAGGGGAGCCGAAGGGAAACCGAGUCUUAACUGGGCGUUAAGUUGCAGGGUAUAGACCCGAAACCCGGUGAUCUAGCCAUGGGCAGGUUGAAGGUUGGGUAACACUAACUGGAGGACCGAACCGACUAAUGUUGAAAAAUUAGCGGAUGACUUGUGGCUGGGGGUGAAAGGCCAAUCAAACCGGGAGAUAGCUGGUUCUCCCCGAAAGCUAUUUAGGUAGCGCCUCGUGAAUUCAUCUCCGGGGGUAGAGCACUGUUUCGGCAAGGGGGUCAUCCCGACUUACCAACCCGAUGCAAACUGCGAAUACCGGAGAAUGUUAUCACGGGAGACACACGGCGGGUGCUAACGUCCGUCGUGAAGAGGGAAACAACCCAGACCGCCAGCUAAGGUCCCAAAGUCAUGGUUAAGUGGGAAACGAUGUGGGAAGGCCCAGACAGCCAGGAUGUUGGCUUAGAAGCAGCCAUCAUUUAAAGAAAGCGUAAUAGCUCACUGGUCGAGUCGGCCUGCGCGGAAGAUGUAACGGGGCUAAACCAUGCACCGAAGCUGCGGCAGCGACACUAUGUGUUGUUGGGUAGGGGAGCGUUCUGUAAGCCUGUGAAGGUGUACUGUGAGGUAUGCUGGAGGUAUCAGAAGUGCGAAUGCUGACAUAAGUAACGAUAAAGCGGGUGAAAAGCCCGCUCGCCGGAAGACCAAGGGUUCCUGUCCAACGUUAAUCGGGGCAGGGUGAGUCGACCCCUAAGGCGAGGCCGAAAGGCGUAGUCGAUGGGAAACAGGUUAAUAUUCCUGUACUUGGUGUUACUGCGAAGGGGGGACGGAGAAGGCUAUGUUGGCCGGGCGACGGUUGUCCCGGUUUAAGCGUGUAGGCUGGUUUUCCAGGCAAAUCCGGAAAAUCAAGGCUGAGGCGUGAUGACGAGGCACUACGGUGCUGAAGCAACAAAUGCCCUGCUUCCAGGAAAAGCCUCUAAGCAUCAGGUAACAUCAAAUCGUACCCCAAACCGACACAGGUGGUCAGGUAGAGAAUACCAAGGCGCUUGAGAGAACUCGGGUGAAGGAACUAGGCAAAAUGGUGCCGUAACUUCGGGAGAAGGCACGCUGAUAUGUAGGUGAAGUCCCUCGCGGAUGGAGCUGAAAUCAGUCGAAGAUACCAGCUGGCUGCAACUGUUUAUUAAAAACACAGCACUGUGCAAACACGAAAGUGGACGUAUACGGUGUGACGCCUGCCCGGUGCCGGAAGGUUAAUUGAUGGGGUUAGCCGCAAGGCGAAGCUCUUGAUCGAAGCCCCGGUAAACGGCGGCCGUAACUAUAACGGUCCUAAGGUAGCGAAAUUCCUUGUCGGGUAAGUUCCGACCUGCACGAAUGGCGUAAUGAUGGCCAGGCUGUCUCCACCCGAGACUCAGUGAAAUUGAACUCGCUGUGAAGAUGCAGUGUACCCGCGGCAAGACGGAAAGACCCCGUGAACCUUUACUAUAGCUUGACACUGAACAUUGAGCCUUGAUGUGUAGGAUAGGUGGGAGGCUUUGAAGUGUGGACGCCAGUCUGCAUGGAGCCGACCUUGAAAUACCACCCUUUAAUGUUUGAUGUUCUAACGUUGACCCGUAAUCCGGGUUGCGGACAGUGUCUGGUGGGUAGUUUGACUGGGGCGGUCUCCUCCUAAAGAGUAACGGAGGAGCACGAAGGUUGGCUAAUCCUGGUCGGACAUCAGGAGGUUAGUGCAAUGGCAUAAGCCAGCUUGACUGCGAGCGUGACGGCGCGAGCAGGUGCGAAAGCAGGUCAUAGUGAUCCGGUGGUUCUGAAUGGAAGGGCCAUCGCUCAACGGAUAAAAGGUACUCCGGGGAUAACAGGCUGAUACCGCCCAAGAGUUCAUAUCGACGGCGGUGUUUGGCACCUCGAUGUCGGCUCAUCACAUCCUGGGGCUGAAGUAGGUCCCAAGGGUAUGGCUGUUCGCCAUUUAAAGUGGUACGCGAGCUGGGUUUAGAACGUCGUGAGACAGUUCGGUCCCUAUCUGCCGUGGGCGCUGGAGAACUGAGGGGGGCUGCUCCUAGUACGAGAGGACCGGAGUGGACGCAUCACUGGUGUUCGGGUUGUCAUGCCAAUGGCACUGCCCGGUAGCUAAAUGCGGAAGAGAUAAGUGCUGAAAGCAUCUAAGCACGAAACUUGCCCCGAGAUGAGUUCUCCCUGACUCCUUGAGAGUCCUGAAGGAACGUUGAAGACGACGACGUUGAUAGGCCGGGUGUGUAAGCGCAGCGAUGCGUUGA